This 468-nucleotide ribosomal RNA is filed under the name uncultured bacterium. RNAcentral's name for it is "partial 16S ribosomal RNA". It matches the Rfam family "Bacterial small subunit ribosomal RNA", at positions 28 to 507 of the family's 1533-position model. The record is from RNAcentral.
GAUGAACGCUGACAGAAUGCUUAACACAUGCAAGUCUACUUGAAUUUGGGUUUUUUAACUUAGAUUUGGGUGGCGGACGGGUGAGUAACGCGUAAAGAACUUGCCUCACAGUUAGGGACAACAUUUGGAAACGAAUGCUAAUACCUGAUAUUAUGAAUAUAUGGCAUCAUAUAAUUAUGAAAGCUAUAAGCGCUGUGAGAGAGCUUUGCGUCCCAUUAGCUAGUUGGAGAGGUAACGGCUCACCAAGGCGUUGAUGGGUAGCCGGCCUGAGAGGGUGAACGGCCACAAGGGGACUGAGACACGGCCCUUACUCCUACGGGAGGCAGCAGUGGGGAAUAUUGGACAAUGGACCAAGAGUCUGAUCCAGCAAUUCUGUGUGCACGAUGACGUUUUUCGGAAUGUAAAGUGCUUUCAGUUGGGAAGAAAAAAAUGACGGUACCAACAGAAGAAGUGACGGCUAAAUACGUG